GACGAACGCUGGCGGCGUGCCUAAUACAUGCAAGUAGAACGCUGAAGAGAGGAGCUUGCUCUUCUUGGAAGAGUUGCGAACGGGUGAGUAACGCGUAGGUAACCUGCCUUGUAGCGGGGGAUAACUAUUGGAAACGAUAGCUAAUACCGCAUAACAAUGGGUGACCCAUGUCAUUCAUUUGAAAGGGGCAACUGCUCCACUACAAGAUGGACCUGCGUUGUAUUGGCUAGUAGGUGAGGUAACGGCUCACCUAGGCGACGAUACAUAGCCGACCUGAGAGGGUGAUCGGCCACACUGGGACUGAGACACGGCCCAGACUCCUACGGGAGGCAGCAGUAGGGAAUCUUCGGCAAUGGGGGCAACCCUGACCGAGCAACGCCGCGUGAGUGAAGAAGGUUUUCGGAUCGUAAAGCUCUGUUGUAAGUCAAGAACGAGUGUGAGAGUGGAAAGUUCACACUGUGACGGUAGCUUACCAGAAAGGGACGGCUAACUACGUGCCAGCAGCCGCGGUAAUACGUAGGUCCCGAGCGUUGUCCGGAUUUAUUGGGCGUAAAGCGAGCGCAGGCGGUUUGAUAAGUCUGAAGUUAAAGGCUGUGGCUCAACCAUAGUUCGCUUUGGAAACUGUCAAACUUGAGUGCAGAAGGGGAGAGUGGAAUUCCAUGUGUAGCGGUGAAAUGCGUAGAUAUAUGGAGGAACACCGGUGGCGAAAGCGGCUCUCUGGUCUGUAACUGACGCUGAGGCUCGAAAGCGUGGGGAGCGAACAGG
RNAcentral lists this ribosomal RNA (765 nucleotides) under uncultured Streptococcus sp. Its description in RNAcentral is "bacterial SSU rRNA". It matches the Rfam family "Bacterial small subunit ribosomal RNA", at positions 28 to 776 of the family's 1533-position model. Lineage: Bacteria; Bacillati; Bacillota; Bacilli; Lactobacillales; Streptococcaceae. The record is from RNAcentral.